AAUAAUACCCCGGUAGUCCUGGCCCUAAACGAUGUCCACUGGGUCGCGGCCCCUUGACGGGGGUCGCGGCCGGAGCAAAAGUGUUAAGUGGACCGCCUGGGAAGUACGGUCGCAAGGCUAAAACUCAAAGGAAUUGAUGGGGGCUCACACAAGCGGUGGAGCAUGUGGUUCAAUUCGAAGCAACGCGCAGAGCCUUACCUGGGCUUGACAUGCCAGGAUUAUCCCGGUGAAAGCCGGGUAGGCCCCGCAAGGGGUACAACUGGUACAGGUGCUGCAUGGCUGUCGUCAGCUCGUGUCGUGAGAUGUCGGGUUAAGUCCCUUAACGAGCGAAACCUUUGCCCCUAGUUACCAUCGGGUCAUGCCGGGGACUCUAGGGGGACUGCCGGUGUCAAACCGGAGGAAGGUGGAGAUGACGUCAAGUCCUCAUGGCCUUUAUGCCCAGGGCCACACACGUGCUACAAUGGCGUCGACAAAGCGACCCGAGAGCGCGAGCUGGAGGAAAUCGCAGAAAUGACGCCCCAGUUCAGAUCGGAGGCUGCAACCCGCCUCCG
This 551-nucleotide ribosomal RNA is filed under the name uncultured bacterium. Its description in RNAcentral is "bacterial SSU rRNA". It matches the Rfam family "Bacterial small subunit ribosomal RNA", at positions 777 to 1320 of the family's 1533-position model. The record is from RNAcentral.